UGGGUCGGCAAGACGGUCGCGUCGCAGGAGCCUCCGGGCGCCUGUGCCGAGGAACGUCCGGGCUCCACAGAGCAGGGCGGUGGGUAACACCCACCCGGGGCAACCCGCGAGAAAGUGCAACAGAGAGCAGACCGCCACGGUUCCGUCGCGAGACGGGCCGGGGUAAGGGUGAAACGGCGGUGUAAGAGACCACCAGCGGUUCGGGUGACCGGCCGGCUAUGUAAACCUCGCCCGGAGCAAGGUCAGACAGGGAACGUUCGAGGCGGCUCGCCGAGUUCCCGGGUAGACCGCUAGAGCGCUGCGGCAACGCAGCGCCGAGAGAGAUGGCCGUCCACGGCGGCGUGCGUGCACGUCGCCCGGACAGAACCCGGCGUAGCAGCCGGCCCAUUCG
This 391-nucleotide RNase P RNA is filed under the name Frondihabitans sp. 762G35. RNAcentral describes it as "Bacterial RNase P class A". It matches the Rfam family "Bacterial RNase P class A". From Rfam's summary of the family: Ribonuclease P (RNase P) is a ubiquitous endoribonuclease, found in archaea, bacteria and eukarya as well as chloroplasts and mitochondria. The record is from Rfam by way of RNAcentral. Lineage: Bacteria; Bacillati; Actinomycetota; Actinomycetes; Micrococcales; Microbacteriaceae.